This 427-nucleotide ribosomal RNA is filed under the name uncultured bacterium. Its description in RNAcentral is "bacterial SSU rRNA". It matches the Rfam family "Bacterial small subunit ribosomal RNA", at positions 355 to 774 of the family's 1533-position model. The record is from RNAcentral.
UGGGGAAUAUUGGACAAUGGGCGCAAGCCUGAUCCAGCCAUACCGCGUGGGUGAAGAAGGCCUUCGGGUUGUAAAGCCCUUUUGUUGGGAAAGAAAUCCAGCUGGUUAAUACCCGGUUGGGAUGACGGUACCCAAAGAAUAACCACCGGCUAACUUCGUGCCAGCAGCAGCGGUAAUACGAAGGGUGCAAGCGUUACUCGGAAUUACUGGGCGUAAAGCGUGCGUAGGUGGUCGGUUAAGUCUGUUGUGAAAGCCCUGGGCUCAACCUGGGAACUGCAGUGGAAACUGGACGACUAGAGUGUGGUAGAGGGAUGCGGAAUUUCUGGUGUAGCAGUGAAAUGCGUAGAGAUCAGAAGGAACAUCAGUGGCGAAGGCGGCAUCCUGGGCCAAAACUGACACUGAGGCAGGAAAGCGUGGGGAGCAAACA